RNAcentral lists this ribosomal RNA (490 nucleotides) under uncultured bacterium. RNAcentral describes it as "partial 16S ribosomal RNA". It matches the Rfam family "Bacterial small subunit ribosomal RNA", at positions 30 to 507 of the family's 1533-position model. The record is from RNAcentral.
AUUGAACGCUGGCGGCAGGCCUAACACAUGCAAGUCGAACGGUAACAGGAAGACGCUUGCUUCUUUGCUGACGAGUGGCGGACGGGUGAGUAAUGUCUGGGAAACUGCCUGAUGGAGGGGGAUAACUACUGGAAACGGUAGCUAAUACCCCAUAACGUCCCAAGCCCAAAGAGGGGGACCUUCUGGCCCCUUGCCAUCGGAUGUGCCCAGAUGGGAUUAGCUAGUAGGGGGGGGAACGGCUCACCUAGGCGACGAUCCCUAGCUGGUCUGAGAGGAUGACCAGCCACACUGGAACUGAGACACGGUCCAGACUCCUACGGGAGGCAGCAGUGGGGAAUAUUGGACAAUGUGCGCAAGCCUGAUGCAGCCAUGCCGCGUGUAUGAAGAAGGCCUUCGGGUUGUAAAGUACUUUCAGCGGGGAGGAAGGGAGUAAAGUUAAUACCUUUGCUCAUUGACGUUACCCGAAGAAGAAGCACCGGCUAACUCCGUG